This is a non-coding RNA of Pelobates cultripes (western spadefoot toad), 756 nucleotides long. The record is from the annotation of a GenBank genome assembly. Lineage: Eukaryota; Metazoa; Chordata; Amphibia; Anura; Pelobatidae.
GUUGAGUCUCUAGAGAUUUUUAAAUAGUGACUGGAUGGAGAUCUGACUACCCCUCACAAAGGGAUGAUCUGUCCUAAACUGGCAUUAAUGUGACUCAACGUUUCUGUCACAUCACUAAAUGAAAAAAGAACUGACACUAGCUGGUGGUAGUUGGUGACAACUGCACAGAAUCAGAUACAGCACCAAUGGAUAUGCUGCCUGCCCUAGUAUUUACUUGUUAUGCUUCUUCCCUCAGUAAUACAGACCUGUGGUAUCUUGCAGCACUUAUUAGAUGACUAUGUACUCACCCCCUACUCAUUUCCUUGCUGCACAAUUUGAACUUUGCAAGUCUGUCACACAGAGUGAUCCCAAUCUUUGCUUAAUUGGAACGGUACAUUAGCCCCCUUCCUUUGCCUUGCAUCUGCUGAAAAUGCAGGUGGAUUUGCAUUGGUGGCAGUGAAAACUGUCACAACACUAUCUUGCACACUAGCUCUUGGUGAUUAAUAUUAAUGGAAAUGUUGAUGGUGCCAGUAUAAGUGAUGUUGAUGGUGGUAUUGUUGGUGAUGGUAAUGAUAUUAGAACUGAUAGUGUGUGAGCUACUUCUGCUAGUGGUAGCAGGUGCAGCUUAAGUCACAACUGUCAGAUGAGGUAAAUCCAGGAGUGGCAAAAAAUUGGCAAAAAAGCCAUAAUGAGAGCAGAUUAGAAGUAGGUAUAUAAGGACCCAAUAUGUGAAAUACAGUAAUAUGAAGAAGUCCGUUGUGGUGUUGCACAACAAAC